RNAcentral lists this ribosomal RNA (346 nucleotides) under uncultured bacterium. Its description in RNAcentral is "bacterial SSU rRNA". It matches the Rfam family "Bacterial small subunit ribosomal RNA", at positions 458 to 793 of the family's 1533-position model. The record is from RNAcentral.
AGCAUAUUCGUUUGACGUUUAGCUGCAGAAGAAGCACCGGCUAACUCCGUGCCAGCAGCCGCGGUAGUACGGAGGGUGCGAGCGUUAAUCGGAAUUACUGGGCGUAAAGCGCAUGCAGGUGGUUUGUUUAAGUUCAGAUGUGAAAGACCCGGGGCGUCAACCUCGGAAUAGCAUUUGAAACUAGGCAGACUAGAGUACUGUAGAGGGGGGUAGGAAGUUUCAGGUGUAGCGGUGAAAUAGCGUAGAGAUCUGAAGGAAUACCGGUGGCGAAGGCGGCCCCCUCGGACAGAUACUGACACUCAGAUGCGAAAGCGUGGGGAGCAAACAGGAUUAGAUACCCUGGUAG